RNAcentral lists this long non-coding RNA (2862 nucleotides) under Homo sapiens (human). RNAcentral's name for it is "non-protein coding lnc-GSTT2B-1:1". The record is from RNAcentral. Lineage: Eukaryota; Metazoa; Chordata; Mammalia; Primates; Hominidae.
CCCCAGGGCCACACCUUCCCCUGGGCUCUACUAUUCUUUUUUUUUUUUUUUUUUCGAGACAGGGUCUUGCUGUUGCCCAGGCUGGAAUGAGUGCAGUGGUACAAACUUAGCUUACUGCAGCCUCAACCUGGGCUCAAACAAUCCUUCUGCCUCACCCUCCCAUGUAGCUCAGACCACAUGCGCAUGCCACCAGUCUGGGCUAAUUUUUUGACUUUGUAGAGACGGGGUCGCACUUUGUUUCCCAGGGUGCUCCCGAAUUCCUUGGCUCAAGUGAUCCUCCCACCUCAGCCCCCCACAGUGCUGGGAUUAUAGGUGUGAUCCACCACCCCUGGCCUCUCUCACAUUCUUGACAUUUAAAGUUACCAUCAUUGACAAGGAACAUGGGUACACUCCAAUUUACUCAAGAAAAAGCUCUUUUCUCCAUUGAAGAGAUAUGUGGCCUAACUGCUUCCUACUCUAGUUGAGUCUUCUUGUUGUUUCCUUUUUCUUCUUCUCUCUUGUUUUUUAGAGACGAGGUCCUGCUGUGUUGCCCAGGCUGGUCUCAAAGUUCUACCCUCAAGAGACCCUCCUGCCUUGUCCUCCCAAAGUGUUGGGAUUACAGGUGUGAGCCACUCUGUCCAGCCUCAAACUGUGGUCAUUAGAUCAGCAGCAGUAGCAGCCUUGCCUGGGAGCUUGUUAGAAAUAUACUAACAGGCUCCCACCCCCAAACCCAGACCUACUGAAUCAGACAGAGUUAGCUUUCUUUGUUUUUGUUUUAUAUUUUGAGCUAUAAUAUUCAAUUUCUACACUUCAGAAUAAAAAGAGCCACAAUUUAUGAUUCAUAUUUUUUGUAGCUGCUUCCCUAUGCUUUUGAACAAUGUAAUCAUAUUUUCAUUAUCAGAUAUAAUUCCCAUACCAUAAUAUCCACCCUUUUUUUCAUCACCCAAAAAAGAAACUCUGUACCCAAUAAAGAGUCACUCCCCAUUCCCCUCUUCCCCUAGCCCCUGGUUACCAUUCAUCUACUUUCUACCUCUGUGGAUAGGAAGUAGCUGCCUAUUCUGGAGAUUUCAUUCAAAUGGAAUAAUGAAAUAUGUGACCUUUUAUGACUGGCUUCUUUCAUUUAGCAUAAUGGUGUCAAGGUUCAUCCAUGUUGUAGCAUAUAACGGUACUUCAUCCCUUCUUAUGGCUGAAUAAUAUUCAAUUUUAUGGACUUUUUAGCAAAACAUUCUAAUUUUUACUUCUCUACUGUGCUUAUUGUUUGUCUUUCUCCACAACAAUGUGAGCACUAAAGGCAGACAUUUUUGCCUAUUUUGUUCACUACUGCUUUUUCUGCACCAAAAGCAUUGCCUGGUUGUGGGUACUUUUCUAGUUUUAGGAAGGAGAAGACAAGAUAUAGGUCCUGACUCUGGUUCUGCCUCUCAUUCAUAUGCUACUCUGAGGAUCCCUUCCCCUUGAAGAACUUGUUUCUUCAUCUACAAAAUGGGGAUAAUACUACUACUCAUCAGGGUGGUUGUGAGGAUUAAACAAGGUAAGAGAUGUAAAAUUGCAUGUUAGUUAUCAGAUAGAUUUGUGUUCCCAUCUAGCUCCAACGAGGGAGAGGAUUUGCUCUAGUCUGUCCCUCCGGGCUCUGGGCUUCUAAUGGGCAGACAGCUUCCUCCAUGAUGUUUGUAGCUGUAAAGCCUGGCAUAGUCCCUCAAGACAAGUUUUUUUUUUUUUUGAGUCGGAGUAUCGCUCUAUCACCAGGCUGGAGUACAGUGGUGCGAUCUUGGCUCACUGCAAUCGCCGCUUCCUGGGUUCAAGUGAUUCUCCUGCCUCAGCCUCCCAAGUAGCUGGAAUUACAGGCACACGCCACCACACUCAGCUAAUUUUAAGACAGGCUUUUGGAUUUGAACUGCUGAUGGUCUUCCAUGAACAAUUCAACAGAAACCCAGUAGCGCACACUUCCUUGUAUGCACUUGCUCCCUCUCUUUACAUUUAUUACACAUUUAAUGCUACCUAAUAAUUCCCUAUACUUAUCUUUUACUUUAUCCAAUCAUUCAACAGAUUCCAACCGAAAUACAUAGAAGAGUGAUAUUCCAACUUCAUCAGACCCUGAGAUUCUAUUUUUAACAUUUCUUCCAUGGAUUGUUGAAUGUUUCCAAUGAUUGAUCCACCUUCCCUUGGCCUUUUCUACAUUACAGAUUUGGUUGCAUGUCCUUGUCUAUGUUGCCAAACUUGCCUCAUAGACCCAGCUUGAACACAAGAUGGGUGCUUGCUGAAGAGCAGGACUCAUUCUGUUGAACCUGCAUGUUUUCUCAGGUCAGAUUGCUUGGUGGCACUUCUUUAAUUUCUUUCAACAGCACAUUGUAGUUUGCUGUGUUGAAGUGUUGCUUUUCUUUGGUUAAAUUUAUUCUAACUAUUCCUCCCGAGUAGCUGGGACUACAGGCAUGCGCCACCACGCCCAGCUAAUUUUUGUAUUUUUAGUAGAGACGGGGUUUCACCAUAUUGGACAGGCCGGUCUCAAACUCCUGACCUCAUGAUCUGCCUGCCUCAGCCUCCCAAAGUGCUGGGAUUACAGGUGUGAGCCACUGUGCCCAGCCUUGAACUUGUUUAUUAGCUCUAAUGGUUAAGUGAGUUCCUUAAGAAUUCCUAUAAUGUCAUCUGUGAAUAGAGAUGGUUUUACUUCUUUCUUUCUGAUCUAGAUUCCACCUUGUUCCUUUUUCUUGCCUAAUUGCCCUAAUAAGUAGAAGUAGUGUGAAUGAACAUUCUUGUCCUGUUCCUGAUCUUAGGGGGGAAAUGCUCCAUCUUUCACAAUGAGUGAAGUGUGGUGUUAGUUAUAGGUUUUUCAUAGAUGCUUUUUGCCAAGUUGAGGAAGUUCCUUUCUCAUCUUCAUCUGCUGAGUAA